GCCGCGUGGGUGAUGAAGGUCUUCGGAUUGUAAAGCCCUGUUUUCUAGGACGAUAAUGACGGUACUAGAGGAGGAAGCCACGGCUAACUACGUGCCAGCAGCCGCGGUAAUACGUAGGUGGCGAGCGUUGUCCGGAUUUACUGGGCGUAAAGGGUGCGUAGGCGGAUGUUUAAGUGGGAUGUGAAAUCCCCGGGCUUAACCUGGGGGCUGCAUUCCAAACUGGAUAUCUAGAGUGCAGGAGAGGAAAGCGGAAUUCCUAGUGUAGCGGUGAAAUGCGUAGAGAUUAGGAAGAACACCAGUGGCGAAGGCGGCUUUCUGGACUGUAACUGACGCUGAGGCACGAAAGCGUGGGUAGCAAACAGGAUUAGAUACCCUGGUAGUCCACGCCGUAAACGAUGGAUACUAGGUGUAGGGGGUAUCAACUCCCCCUGUGCCGCAGUUAACACAAUAAGUAUCCCGCCUGGGGAGUACGGUCGCAAGAUUAAAACUCAAAGGAAUUGACGGGGGCCCGCACAAGCAGCGGAGCAUGUGGUUUAAUUCGAAGCAACGCGAAGAACCUUACCUGGACUUGACAUCCCUUGCAUAGCCUAGAGAUAGGUGAAGCCCUUCGGGGCAAGGAGACAGGUGGUGCAUGGU
Molecule: ribosomal RNA, 636 nt
Filed under: Clostridium botulinum
Lineage: Bacteria; Bacillati; Bacillota; Clostridia; Eubacteriales; Clostridiaceae
Description: bacterial SSU rRNA
Rfam family: Bacterial small subunit ribosomal RNA
Source: RNAcentral